This 893-nucleotide long non-coding RNA is filed under the name Oryzias sinensis (Chinese medaka). RNAcentral's name for it is "lncRNA (ENSOSIG00000020688.1)". Lineage: Eukaryota; Metazoa; Chordata; Actinopteri; Beloniformes; Adrianichthyidae. The record is from RNAcentral.
UUUCACCGUGGCAAAGCAUGGGAGGAAGGUAAACAGAGGGCUCUGCAGCUUUAAGAAGUGUGCACACAUGAACAGCUGGCAGUGGGCCAUUAGGCCAACAUAAACACUUCUAAUCCUUUUUCCAAGGAGCUUUCAACACUCAUCUCCCUGGCACAUCGGCCGUUGACUCACUCCCUGACAUUCCUGGCUGUUUGAAGUAGAGGAGAGCAGUCACCAGGCGGCACUGUGGCUCCAACAAUGGCCCCUGGUGCUGUUGAUCAUUAUUCACUGCAAAGGUAUGUGCCUUCGUUUGAUUUUCCCAUGAAGCGAAACAGGUCUCAGUUUUCAUUCUUUCUUAGCAGAACUGCGGGCUGAGCUUCACCAAGUCUUGUUGACUGGAAAACCACAGAAGCAUGUGUGAUGAUUAUGGACAGGAAAUCCUGAUCCCAAGAGCUUUUUCCAGAAGUGGAGUGUAGCUGCAGCUCCAACAACCCGAUCUUCUGGGAGUUGCUCUAAAUACCUCAUAGCCUCCAGGAAGUGGAAGCAGACGGAGCCCAGGUGUACAACAGCUGACUGGCACAGACACAAGCUCCUUUUGUUGAAGAACCUAUUUUUGUCUGUCCUACAGUCAUCAUCACUGUAUAAACUACACUGUCUUCAACUUUUAGCAAGAAGCUAAUAAAUGCGUUCAGUGAAAGCCCGAGGUCACUAAGUAAAAAAAAGUAAAAAUUUUCAUCAAAGUAGUUUUCCAUUAAUCAAAUGGGCUGUAAUUUAUGGCCAAAGUCAAAAACUGACAGCCCCAACAAGCCAAAUGAAGGUAAAUGAAGUUUCUGGCAGAGUGCUGCUGAAAUAAUUUACAAUUAUCUUGUAAAUGAGAUUCAAUCUUUACAUUAUUAAAAAUGUGUAUAAAUAAG